AGUGCUUGCUUGGGCAGUGCAUAGUAAAACUGGAACAAUACAGAGAAGAUUAGCAUGGUCCCUGUGCAAGGAUGACUGCAAAUUCAUGAAGCAUUUCAUGUUUUC
Small nuclear RNA from Perognathus longimembris pacificus (Pacific pocket mouse), 105 nucleotides. NCBI's taxonomy places the organism in Eukaryota, Metazoa, Chordata, Mammalia, Rodentia, Heteromyidae. The record is from RefSeq and is a predicted model, not a curated record.